RNAcentral lists this unclassified non-coding RNA (253 nucleotides) under Hevea brasiliensis (rubber tree). Lineage: Eukaryota; Viridiplantae; Streptophyta; Magnoliopsida; Malpighiales; Euphorbiaceae. The record is from RNAcentral.
AGCGAGUUGUGUACACUUCCAGUGCAUCAACAAUUGUAUUUAGUGACAAGGUUGUGGACACAAUGGAUGAGGGCUUUUGGAGUAAUGUGGAUUACAUAAAGUCCAUUAACUACUUUACUUUUGGUCCUUACAUGAUUUCCAAGACAUCGACGGAGAAGAUAGCUCUUGAAUUUGCAGAAGAGCAUGGAUUGGACCUUGUGACAGUAAUUCCUUCUUUUAUUGUCGGUCCCUUUAUUUGUCCUAAGUUCCCUGG